GACAGAGGGUGCAAACGUUGCUCGGAAUCACUGGGCGUAAAGGGCGUGUAGGCGGGCAUGCAAGUCAGGCGUGAAAUCCCUGGGCUCAACCCAGGAAUUGCACUUGAAACUGCAUGUCUUGAGUAUCGGAGAGGAAAGCGGAAUUCCUGGUGUAGAGGUGAAAUUCGUAGAUAUCAGGAGGAACACCGGUGGCGAAGGCGGCUUUCUGGACGAUAACUGACGCUGAGACGCGAAAGCGUGGGUAGCAAACAGG
Molecule: ribosomal RNA, 253 nt
Filed under: uncultured bacterium
Lineage: Bacteria
Description: partial 16S ribosomal RNA
Rfam family: Bacterial small subunit ribosomal RNA
Source: RNAcentral